Molecule: ribosomal RNA, 303 nt
Filed under: uncultured bacterium
Lineage: Bacteria
Description: partial 16S ribosomal RNA
Rfam family: Bacterial small subunit ribosomal RNA
Source: RNAcentral
AGCAGUAGCCACGGGAAUACGGAGGGUGCAAGCGUUAAUCGGAAUUACUGGGCGUAAAGCGCACGCAGGCGGUCUGACAAGUCAGAUGUGAAAUCCCCGGGCUUAACCUGGGAACUGCAUUUGAAACUGUCAGGCUGGAGUCUUGUAGAGGGGGGUGGAAUUCCAGGUGUAGCGGUGAAAUGCGUAGAGAUCUGGAGGAAUACCGGUGGCGAAGGCGGCCCCCUGGACAAAGACUGACGCUCAGGUGCGAAAGCGUGGGGAGCAAACAGGAUUAGAUACCCGGUAGUCCCUGUCUCUUAUACA